Molecule: transfer RNA, 66 nt
Filed under: Crotalus tigris (Tiger rattlesnake)
Lineage: Eukaryota; Metazoa; Chordata; Lepidosauria; Squamata; Viperidae
Description: tRNA-Ser
Source: RNAcentral
GAGAGGUCCAGAAGGCCUGCUAACUCUUCAAUCUGGUAAACACGCAGCCCUCUCUUCUAUCAAAGG